This 218-nucleotide ribosomal RNA is filed under the name Salmonella enterica subsp. enterica serovar Typhimurium. Its description in RNAcentral is "partial 16S ribosomal RNA". It matches the Rfam family "Bacterial small subunit ribosomal RNA", at positions 896 to 1113 of the family's 1533-position model. Lineage: Bacteria; Pseudomonadati; Pseudomonadota; Gammaproteobacteria; Enterobacterales; Enterobacteriaceae. The record is from RNAcentral.
AAAACUCAAAUGAAUUGACGGGGGCCCGCACAAGCGGUGGAGCAUGUGGUUUAAUUCGAUGCAACGCGAAGAACCUUACCUGGUCUUGACAUCCACAGAAGAAUCCAGAGAUGGAUUUGUGCCUUCGGGAACUGUGAGACAGGUGCUGCAUGGCUGUCGUCAGCUCGUGUUGUGAAAUGUUGGGUUAAGUCCCGCAACGAGCGCAACCCUUAUCCUUU